UAUGGAUGCUUCUCAACAUUACAGGAA
RNAcentral lists this non-coding RNA (27 nucleotides) under Homo sapiens (human). Lineage: Eukaryota; Metazoa; Chordata; Mammalia; Primates; Hominidae. The record is from RNAcentral.